UGAUAGAGGACCUUGUACUGGUUGUUGGUGGAGUACUGAUAGAGGACCUUGUACUGGUUGUUGGUGGGGUACUGAUAGAGGACCUUGUACUGGUUGUUGAUGAGGUACUGAUAGAGGACCUGUUACUGGUUGUUGGUGGGGUACUGAUAGAGGACCUUGUACUGGUUGUUGGUCGGUGCUGAUAGAGAACCUGGU
Mizuhopecten yessoensis (Yesso scallop) is the source of this 195-nucleotide long non-coding RNA. RefSeq lists it as uncharacterized. Lineage: Eukaryota; Metazoa; Mollusca; Bivalvia; Pectinida; Pectinidae. The record is from RefSeq and is a predicted model, not a curated record. The transcript is spliced from 3 exons.